AGUUCCAGGAUCCAUACAGUGUGUCCAGACAGGAAAAAGAUCAGAAGCAGAACUAGAAACAAAGAUAAAGCAAGAUUCAUCCAUAGGACCAGACAGCAUAGCUCAGAUGGGAGUGGCUGCCCAGGCUAGAGCUUAAAUGGAGCUCUUGUGCUCUUUGAGUGGGUAGGGGAGAUCCCAGGUGACAUUGGCCAGGGUUGUUAAAGCUAGUUUGUGACACAAUUGCCCAUCAUGACAUUCUGAUUCCAUUCUGAUUCCAUCCUGGAGCUACAUGUGUUUAACAGUUUUCUGAAAAGUGUUUAUAGAAAACCAAAUCCUUUAUGUUAAUUCAGGCAAGGAGGGCAGCAGUCAUCUGCCUCAACAACUCAACAACAGGAAGGAUACACAGGAUAACUACAUGCCAUGUCAUUAUUUUUUGUUGUUAUUUUAUUGUCUGCAUCCUAUCCUUUGCUCCUCAGCACUACAUUGCCUCCCAAAGGCUGGGCAUGUGCUCUUUGCAUCUUUGCAUUGUCAGAGUGUAGUGAUGGUGUGAGAAAGAAUUAAAAACAAAACAAAAAAAGAAACAGAGAAGAUGCUAAAAUCAUGGAAAGUGGAUGAUCAUGGAAAGUACCUAAAGAAAAAACAAAACAAAAUUAAAAAAAAAAAUCAUGAAAGAAAGCUUAACAGUGGAGUUUAACAGAGGUGACUAAAGGCUUUGAACUGUGAAGCAGAUGAAAGUGUAUGGAAAAGCAUGUGACUUUGCCAUCUGUUUCUGUUCUUACCAGAAUAACCUCACAGAACCUGAAUUUUGGCAGGUCACCUAGACCUUAGUGAUGCAUACAAAGCCAAAUUACUUCUAGUCUUGUGGCAAAACUCCUACCAUUUUUGAAUAAAAAUUACAAAGCAUAAGACA
RNAcentral lists this long non-coding RNA (889 nucleotides) under Anas platyrhynchos platyrhynchos (common mallard). RNAcentral's name for it is "lncRNA (ENSAPLG00000019493.1)". Lineage: Eukaryota; Metazoa; Chordata; Aves; Anseriformes; Anatidae. The record is from RNAcentral.